This 194-nucleotide ribosomal RNA is filed under the name uncultured bacterium. RNAcentral describes it as "partial 16S ribosomal RNA". It matches the Rfam family "Bacterial small subunit ribosomal RNA", at positions 338 to 524 of the family's 1533-position model. The record is from RNAcentral.
CCUACGGGAGGCAGCAGUGGGGAAUUUUGGACAACGGGGGCAACCCUGAUCCAGCCAUCCCGCGUGUGCGAUGAAGGCCUUCGGGUUGUAAAGCACUUUUGGCAGGGAAGAAAAGCCGUGGGUUAAUACCCUGCGGCGCUGACGGUACCUGCAGAAUAAGCACCGGCUAACUACGUGCCAGCAGCCGCGGUAAU